GCCUCAAGCAGCUGGUGGCCUACGUGCAGCUCAACAUGCCAGGCUCAGACCUGGAGCGCCGUGCCCACCUUCUCCUGGCCCAGCUGGAGCACUCGGAACCCACUGAGGCAGAGCCUGAGGCUCUGUCACCAGUGCCAGCUCUAAAACCAACUCCAGAGCUCGAGCUAGCUCUAACACCAGCUCGAGCACCCAGCCCAGUGCCAGCUCCAGCCCCAGAGCCAGCUCCAACACCAGCUCCAGGUUCAGAGCUAGAAGUAGCUCCAGCACCAGCUCCAGAGCUCCAGCAGGCUCCAGAGCCAGCUGUGGGACUGGAACUGGCUCCAGCGCCAGCUCUGGAACUAGAGCCAGCUCCAGAACAGGAUCCAGCUCCCUCACAAACUCUAGAGCUGGAGCCAGCUCCAGCGCCAGUUCCAUCAUCAGAGCCUUCGUGGCCUUCACCUGUGGUUGCAGAGAACGGGCUGAGUGAAGAGAAGCCUCACCUCUUGGCGUUCCCUCCCGAUCUGGUGGCAGAGCAGUUUACACUGAUGGAUGCGGAACUGUUCAAGAAGGUGGUGCCCUACCACUGCCUGGGCUCCAUCUGGUCCCAGCGGGACAAGAAGGGCAAGGAGCACCUGGCGCCCACCAUCCGCGCCACCGUCACCCAGUUCAACAGUGUGGCCAACUGCGUCAUCACCACCUGCCUCGGGGACCGAAGCACGAAAGCCCCAGACAGGGCCAGGGUGGUGGAGCACUGGAUCGAGGUGGCCAGGGAGUGCCGGAUCCUCAAGAACUUCUCGUCACUGUAUGCCAUCCUCUCUGCCCUGCAGAGCAACUCUAUCCACCGUCUGAAGAAGACGUGGGAAGACGUUUCCAGGGACAGUUUCCGGAUCUUUCAGAAGCUGUCGGAGAUCUUCUCAGAUGAGAACAACUACUCAUUGAGCCGGGAGCUGCUCAUCAAGGAGGGGACCUCCAAGUUUGCCACCCUGGAGAUGAACCCCAAGAGAGCCCAGAAACGGCCAAAGGAGACGGGCAUCAUCCAGGGCACCGUUCCCUACCUGGGCACAUUCCUCACCGACCUGGUGAUGCUGGACACCGCCAUGAAGGACUAUCUGUAUGGCAGACUCAUCAACUUCGAGAAGAGGAGGAAGGAGUUCGAGGUGAUCGCCCAGAUCAAGCUGCUGCAGUCGGCCUGCAACAACUACAGCAUCGCGCCAGAUGAGCAAUUUGGGGCCUGGUUCCGGGCCGUGGAGCGGCUCAGCGAGACUGAGAGCUACAACCUGUCGUGUGAGCUGGAGCCCCCAUCCGAGUCAGCCAGCAACACCCUCAGGACCAAGAAGAACACAGCCAUUGUCAAGCGCUGGAGCGACCGCCAGACCCCCAGCACUGAGCUCAGUACCAGUGGCAGCUCCCACUCCAAGUCCUGUGACCAGCUCAGGUGUGGCCCCUACCUCAGCAGCGGGGACAUUGCUGACGCACUCAGCGUGCACUCGGCCGGCUCCUCUAGCUCCGAUGUGGAGGAGAUCAACAUCAGCUUCGUCCCGGAGUCUCCUGAUGGCCAGGAAAAGAAGUUCUGGGAAUCAGCCUCACAGUCAUCUCCGGAGACCUCCGGCAUCAGCUCGGCCUCCAGCAGCACCUCGUCCUCCUCAGCCUCCACCACACCCGUGGCUGCCACGCGCACCCACAAGCGCUCCGUCUCAGGGCUCUGCAACUCCAGCUCCGCGCUGCCGCUCUACAACCAGCAGGUGGGCGACUGCUGUAUCAUCCGCGUCAGCCUGGACGUGGACAACGGCAACAUGUACAAGAGCAUCCUGGUAAGCCGGGUGGGCGGCCUGGGUCCCUCCCUCCACUGGCGGCAAAUGCACCUUGAACACAGUGCACCAUCUCUGCCCUCCCGGGGCCCACCUUGUAGUUGAGGGGGGAAGGACAGAUGUCAGCCAGGUACAGAAAUGAAGAAGGUAGUGAUCAGGGACAAGGCUGGCCUGAGGGCAGAGGGGGAGGGAAGGAGUGGCCGUGCAGAGCUCCCAGGAGACGAAGGGGCGGUGCUGCGGGGGAGAUGAGGUCCGGGAAGUAUCCGGGGCCUGGCCACGUAGGCCCUGAGCACUGCCAGGACCUCGACUUUCUCGGGGAGGAAGACAGGAGCAAUGAUGGCUGGCUUCUCUGUCUGGCGUGGGCUGGUACCACAGCCACAGGGGUGUUGGUUAGGAGGCCGCUGUGGCAACCAGGCUGGGAGCCCUGGAAGGGGCCAGCAGGGUCAGAGUCUGGAUAGGAUUUGGAGACAGCCGAUGGGAAUUGCUCACAGAAUGGGUUUGCCUGGGGGCUCUUUCUUCAUCCUCCAGGUGUUCUGCGACAGAUGAACCAUUUGUAACCCCCACCCUCUGUACCCCAGCCCUGGGUCAGGUACCCCAUUAUUCACACACCCUCCCAACCCCUCGUUGCCAGGAGCUAGCAUGGUUGUCAUUAAGCAGUCACUUGUGGCCCUAUGUCCAAGUUCCGCCUGUGCUCUGGCCCUCAGGGUCAAGGUAGCAGGGGCCUGGCCUGUGCUCACCACACUGAGCAUCCUGGCUGGCCCCUCCUUUCUUAUCUCCAGGGCUUAGACUAGGGACUGUCUGUUCCCCAGGCUCAAUGAUGCUGUUAUCCUGGAGAGGCAAGUGCUGCCCAAGGAAGUGUGGGAGGAGGGAACAGGCUCUUAUAGGAGAGGCAGGGUAGGCACUGCUGGGACAGACCCCUCCUCAUUCCACGGAGGCCUCACGUGGGGAGCAGGAGAAGGACGGAGGCCUCACUUGGGGAGCAGGAGAAUGUGACAAGGCCCUCUCCGGACCCAGCACCUGGCCAGAGGCUGUGAGUGCCUGUGCUUAGUGCUGAGGGGACUCCAGAGGGUCCUUGGCCACUGCACUCUGGGGGAGCCGCUCCAGGGUCUUCUCCCUGAUGGUCCAUCCCCCGCCGCGAUGCAGGUGACCAGCCAAGAUAAGGCUCCAGCCGUAAUCCGCAAGGCCAUGGACAAACACAACCUGGAGGAGGAGGAGCCGGAGGACUAUGAGCUGCUGCAGAUUCUCUCAGAUGACCGGAGUAAGUCAGAAGACCAGAGGGCGAUGGCGGAGGGGGCAGGUCCGCACCACUCCCCUCCCCAGGUUGGAAGGCUUUGGCCCCAGAAAAUUCACCAGCAGAGUGUGGGUAGACACUGUGGACAGGGCAGCCCUGGCUGCCCCCAUUGUCUGCUUGCUGUCCGCAGCCACCACUGGACCUCCCCAGUGUGUGCCCUUCCCUAGGCGUGAACAGGCAGUUCAAAGCUCACAUCAGUGAGGAGCAAAGAGAAAAGGCAUUUUCACUGGGACAGGUUAGCCAGGUGGCCCACUGGAAGGGACGCUUUCUGGCUAAGAUAAAACAUGUGCUCUACAAAGAAUGGUGACUGCUGUGGACCAAAGUGUCGAGUGUUAAAAUCCAUGAGUGUAUGAUUCUAAAAGCAGAACAGGCUGCUAGGAGGCCAACUCAGUAUUCUAGAAACUGGGAAAGUGUCAAGAACCAGUGCAGGCUCAGAGUGGGGUGUGCUGGGCCUGGAGACGCUGUGCAAGGUCCUUAAGCCCUCUGUGCUCGUGUUCUCAUCCCCCAAAUGAAAAUGAAAGUAGCCAGUGUGUUCAUCGUAUAUAUAAAAAUCUGUAUGUAAGUGUAUAUGUGUGUAUAUAUAUAUAUGCAUGCAUACGUGUGUGUAUAUAUAUAUGCAUGCAUACGUGUGUGUAUAUAUAUGCAUGUAUAUAUAAAGCAUCUAUGUGCACCAUAAAAGUUAACCACAAAUACUAUCAUCGCUGCUUUCUUUCCAGUGAGCUGAACACCAUCCCCCACCAUUAGCCCAGACAGUAAGCAAUGACUCCUAUGAUCCCUAGAAGUUAUAGUCUAAAUCCUCUGGCAGCUUCUUGGCACCAUUUUGGUUAGGUGAGCAGGGUAGGUGGGAACCCCAUCUUACAGAGAAGGAAGACUGAGGCCUAGAGAGGUUAAAGAAGAUGAUGAAAAGCCACACGAUGUCGGCAGGAGCACAAAUCGAACCCAGCUCUGGUUUAUAGCAGGCUGUGGGCCAGAGGAGAUGGUGGGAAAUGGAGCCAAGAGGAAGUGCUUGCUGGGUGCCAGGGUUCAAGGAGUACAGGCCUCCCUGGAACGGACACCAGAGCCCUGGGGCAAGCCUGUCCUUUCCUGGUCCUUGGAGCCCUUGUCCUGAGUAGGGCAGGAUUCUGGGAGGUGACCUGGAUUCUAGAAAGCCUGUUCCAGCUGGGCAGCCAGCACUGCAGUAUGGGCAGGACGGGGUGACCCUCUGCCAGCUCAGGCCAAGCCGGGGGGGUUCUGGCAUCAGUCCCUGUUUAAACAAGAGUCAUCAGGUUUUGUGAGGACCUCAGCAGAGUCUGUCCUCAGGCAGGAGUCAUUGAGAGGGGUCCUUGGAGUCCUGGAGCUGUAUUGGAGGGGAUCUGAGGUCUGUGGCUCAAGACAGUCCUUGUAUGGGCUCUCAAGCGGUAGGGGUAUCCUGCAGGGCCCCCAGGAGCAUCACUGAUCACCCCUCUGCCCCUCCCCCACCAGAGCUGAAGAUCCCUGAAAACGCCAACGUCUUCUAUGCCAUGAACUCUACCGCCAAUUAUGACUUUGUCCUGAAGAAGCGGACCUUCACCAAGGGAGUGAAGGUCAAGCAUGGAGCCAGCUCAACCCUCCCUCGCAUGAAGCAGAAGGGACUCAAGAUUGCCAAGGGCAUCUUCUGAGGGCAUCUUCCCAGGGUCUGGCUGGCUGGUAGCCAAGCACUUAUGGACCAGAGUGGCCCAGGCCAGCUGGGCACCUUCCUACCACCUGCCAGCCCAGGGUACCCCAGACUCCAGUUUCAUCCUGAACCUCUCCUGCUGCUGGGAUUGACGCCUGCCAUUGGUCAGGCUGACCUGGCCUCCCGUGGACCACUCGCUGCCUUAGGUGCCUUCUGCUCUCUGGAACCAGAGGACUAGCUGACUUUUGCCAAGGAGCAGUGCCAACGGGCAUGGCAUGGUGCCCUGCCUGCCCCCAGGCACCACCUCUGUACACUUCCCUGACACCUUCCCAGGUGUGGGUCACUGCCACCUGUGCCCAUGGGCACCCCACAACACCCACCCACUCACCCACCGUGUCUGACCGCUGCAGUUCUCUCCUCAUGCCCACGGGCACUGGCCUGUGACCUUUGCAGGGGUCCCGGCCCCUCCCACCACUCUAGCCUUUCUCAGGCUGUACCAAAGAUUCCAUCAUCAGGGCCGACUGAGAGUGAGGGAGUCUCACCCACCACUUACCCCAGCCCUCCCCUGGGAGCAGAGAGAGAAACCCUCUUCAUGGACCAGACUCUGCACCCGGUGAGUGAGGACGGUCCCAGCUGAGUCCCAUAGAUGUUGAAUCUCAUGCCACUGCAAGUGCCAUUCACCACUGCAUCCUGGGCUUUACGAGACCAUGCAAGACGGGGGUUAGUGAGGAAGGAGGAUUUGGGGUGGGGGUGGGGUGACUGAAUAUUUGUAUAAAAAGCAAAAAGAAAAAAAAUGUUUACUGAUUGGGGAGGGGCAAUAUUUAUUUGUUGUAAAUAGCAAAUGUUAGACUUGAAUAUUAUAUUAAAAUCCUGUUUCUACUAUA
This 5595-nucleotide small RNA is filed under the name Pongo abelii (Sumatran orangutan). Its description in RNAcentral is "retained intron". The record is from RNAcentral. Lineage: Eukaryota; Metazoa; Chordata; Mammalia; Primates; Hominidae.